This 255-nucleotide ribosomal RNA is filed under the name uncultured bacterium. RNAcentral describes it as "partial 16S ribosomal RNA". It matches the Rfam family "Bacterial small subunit ribosomal RNA", at positions 99 to 354 of the family's 1533-position model. The record is from RNAcentral.
CGGACGGGUGAGUAACGCGUGGAAAACCUGCCGUAUGCUGGGGGAUAACACUUAGAAAUAGGUGCUAAUACCGCAUAAGCGCACAGCUUCGCAUGAAGCGGUGUGAAAAACUCUGGUGGUAUACGAUGGUUCCGCGUCUGAUUAGCUAGUUGGUGGGGUAAUGGCCUACCAAGGCAACGAUCAGUAGCCGGCCUGAGAGGGUGAACGGCCACAUUAGGACUGAGACACGGCCCAAACUCCUACGGAAGGCAGCAG